RNAcentral lists this ribosomal RNA (445 nucleotides) under uncultured bacterium. RNAcentral describes it as "bacterial SSU rRNA". It matches the Rfam family "Bacterial small subunit ribosomal RNA", at positions 331 to 793 of the family's 1533-position model. The record is from RNAcentral.
CCAGACUCCUACGGGAGGCAGCAGUGGGGAAUAUUGCACAAUGGGGGAAACCCUGAUGCAGCGACGCCGCGUGAAGGACGAAGUAUUUCGGUACGUAAACUUCUAUCAGCAGGGAAGAAAAUGACGGUACCUGACCAAGAAGCCCCGGCUGACUACGUGCCAGCAGCCGCGGUAAUACGUAGGGGGCAAGCGUUAUCCGGAUUUACUGGGUGUAAAGGGAGCGUAGACGGCAGCGCAAGUCUGGAGUGAAAUGCCGGGGCCCAACCCCUGAACUGCUUUGGAAACUGUGCGGCUCGAGUGCAGGAGAGGUAAGCGGAAUUCCUAGUGUAGCGGUGAAAUGCGUAGAUAUUAGGAGGAACCCCAGUGGCGAAGGGGGCUUACUGGACUGUAACUGACGUUGAGGCUCGAAAGCGUGGGGAGCAAACAGGAUUAGAUACCCUCGUAA